This 1337-nucleotide long non-coding RNA is filed under the name Sinocyclocheilus rhinocerous. RNAcentral describes it as "lncRNA (ENSSRHG00000003690.1)". Lineage: Eukaryota; Metazoa; Chordata; Actinopteri; Cypriniformes; Cyprinidae. The record is from RNAcentral.
UGUUUCAUACCAUAAACACUUAAGAAAAUGUUCAUAUUAUUUAAUGAAAAAGCAUUAAAAAAAUCUUAUCUCAUCAAAUGUCAAAUGUCAAUUCAGUGUCAAAAUAACACUGAAAAUCAACAUUUAAAAUGGGGGAGGUGGAGGAGGAGGUGGUGGUGGUGGAAUACAUUUUCCUCCAGUAUUAGCAGGAGGAGGAGGCGACGGUGGCACCAUGGAGGCAUUUUGUGGAGGUGGGGGUGGAGGUAGUGAAGACCCACUGUAGGCAGAGCUAGGAGGAGGAGGAGGCGGAGGUGGAGGAGGAACAACCGUCUUGCCCUGAAUGGGAGGUGGAGGAGGUGGGACAGGGACAUUGCCUGGAGGAGGUGGUGGAGGAGGCGGAAUAGCCAUAUUACCCUGGGGAGGAGGAGGUGGAGGGUUUGCUGAAGUCAAUGAGGUAUUUUGGCCAGGUGGAGGUGGAACCAAAGAACCUCCAUACACAGAACUCGGAGGAGGAGGAGGAGAGGGAGGAGGAGGUGGGGGUGGAGCGUCUCCCAUCUCAUCAUCUGGGAGAGGUGGAGGAGGCAGCAUGGACAGGUCGGGAUAGGCAGGUAGAGUCGGGGAACGGUCAGACAUGAGUGAAGGAGGCGGUGAAGAUGGAGAGAGAUCAGGAGGAGCUGAGACGCUAGAACCCACGCAACCAGGCACUGAUGGAGGAGGAACUGCGAUACCCAAAAAAGACCUGAAACCACAGCAACAACAAUUGAGUUAAUCAAAAACAUUUUUACCUAAAGCUAUCUGAAUACAGGCAGCAAAAGCCACUACAAACCAGUUGAAGGUGCUGGUCUCCUGUGUGCCAAGUUGUACAGACACAGAUUCCUCAUUGUCUGCUUUUGGCUCUUCCUUCGGUGUCACAACAUAAUAAAUAGAAAUAAAUAUACAAAAUCAGCAGGGGUUUUAGAAAAUAUUGUGCAAAUCAAUUAAAUUAUUAAGUCAAGUUAACUCUAUUACAAAUAGGAUAAUCUUAUAAUUAGUAAUUACUGAUGGAAAAGUACUAUUGUUUUUCAUAUAGUAAUUACUUAUAUAUUUGGAGAUAUAUUUGCUCAGUGUUGCUGCCUUCCCAGUGGCCGUGGCCCAGUUUGUCUAAGCGGGUGUAGGAAAUGGGAACCCGUCUGUACGUGCGAAACGGCUCAUGGUCACUUGCUGGUGGAACCACCUUCUGAGUCCGGGGAACUUUUGACUGUUUGGUCAGCACUCCAAUCUCUUUCCGGGCUAUUUUCUCCUUGUACAUGCCAACUGUCUGAAUGUGAAUAUGGACAUUAGGAGGUUAUUUUGCCCAUUUACAACUUUGACAUGAUUAU